GUCCUGUUAGCUCAGCCUGGUAGAGCGGUGGGCUCUUAACCCACGUCGUCGGCGGUUCGAAUCCGUCACGGGACA
This 75-nucleotide transfer RNA is filed under the name Asanoa hainanensis. RNAcentral describes it as "Asanoa sp. 210121 tRNA". It matches the Rfam family "tRNA". Rfam says of the family: Transfer RNA (tRNA) molecules are approximately 80 nucleotides in length. Their secondary structure includes four short double-helical elements and three loops (D, anti-codon, and T loops). Further hydrogen bonds mediate the characteristic L-shaped molecular structure. tRNAs have two regions of fundamental functional importance: the anti-codon, which is responsible for specific mRNA codon recognition, and the 3' end, to which the tRNAs corresponding amino acid is attached (by aminoacyl-tRNA synthetases). tRNAs cope with the degeneracy of the genetic code in two manners: having more than one tRNA (with a specific anti-codon) for a particular amino acid; and 'wobble' base-pairing, i.e. permitting non-standard base-pairing at the 3rd anti-codon position. The record is from Rfam by way of RNAcentral. Lineage: Bacteria; Bacillati; Actinomycetota; Actinomycetes; Micromonosporales; Micromonosporaceae.